CCUACGGGGGGCUGCAGUGGGGAAUAUUGGGCAAUGGGCGCAAGCCUGACCCAGCAACGCCGCGUGAAGGAAGAAGGCUUUCGGGUUGUAAACUUCUUUUCUCAGGGACGAAGCAAGUGACGGUACCUGAGGAAUAAGCCACGGCUAACUACGUGCCUGCAGCCGCGGUAAGACGUAGGUGGCAAGCGUUAUCCGGAUUUACUGGGUGUAAAGGGCGUGUAGGCGGGACUGCAAAUCAGGCGGGAAAACCAUGGGCUCAACCUAUGGCCUGCAUUUGAAACUGUAGUUCUUGAGUACUGGAGAAGCAGACGGAAUUCGUAGUGGAGCGGUGAAAUGCGUAGAUAUUAGGCGGAACACCGGUGGCGAAGGCGGUGUGCUGGACAGCAACUGACGCUGAGGCGCGAAAGCGUGGGGAGCAAACAGGAUUAGAUACCCUAGUAGUC
RNAcentral lists this ribosomal RNA (443 nucleotides) under uncultured bacterium. RNAcentral describes it as "partial 16S ribosomal RNA". It matches the Rfam family "Bacterial small subunit ribosomal RNA", at positions 338 to 795 of the family's 1533-position model. The record is from RNAcentral.